CUUUUGAAAAAUAAUAUUUAAAAAAAAAAAAAUAAAUAUGAAGACUUGAAGGUAGUUUCUCUGUAAGGCCCAUGAAGGUGGUCUUGGUCUUUCUCUGUUUUUGAUAUAAAACCAAACACAGGAGAGUCAUAUUUUGCAAGUCUCGAGAAGUCCUUGGCCUCCUGGCUUCUUGUCGUCUGUCUCCUAAAUUUCCAUACACAGUCUCAGCUCUUAAAAUCUGAAAAUCUUGUUCUUGUCUUGUUUUGUUUUUGGUUAUCGGAAAUGAGUGACCCCAAGUAUGCUUAUCCUUACCCUGCUCAAGGAUAUUAUCAAGGACCCCCAGUGAUGGCCCCUCCACAAUAUGCUGCACCACCACCCAGAAGAGAGCCUGGUUUCCUUGAAGGAUGCCUUGCAGCUUUGUGUUGCUGCUGCCUUAUUGACGAGUGUUGCUGUGACCCAUCCAUCAUCUUUGUUUGCUGAUAAAGUUGUAACUGCUUCUUCCACAGAAUAAUUAAUUCUAGUUUUAUAAUCAUGUGUGGAGUUGUUGAUCUAUAACAUUUCAAUAUAAUUAUGUAUCACGUUUGUGUUCAA
Molecule: long non-coding RNA, 570 nt
Organism: Hevea brasiliensis (rubber tree)
Lineage: Eukaryota; Viridiplantae; Streptophyta; Magnoliopsida; Malpighiales; Euphorbiaceae
Exons: 3
Source: RefSeq, a predicted model, not a curated record